UCAAGCAACACUUGGCAGGGGUUAAGGGAGAAGUUUCUGCAUGCACUAGUGUCCCUAGUAAUGUAAAAAAACAGAUGGUGACAAUUCUUAAUGCUAACAAAGGUAAAAAAAUUGCCAAACAUAGGACAUAUCAAUAUUCGCAUUUUCAUCCAAAAACAUGAAAAUUCUUAAUGGAGUACCCUCAUUUUUUAUUGAAUUCCUAAAAAACAAUAUUUAUAAUGAAUUUUAAUAAUUUUUUCGGAUUUUUUUGAAACUUUAUUCUGACCGAUUCACCCGAUUCCGAUCCGGACCGCCGAUUCGCCGAUCCGGAUCGCCGAUUCGCCGAUCCGGAUCGGUUUUUGAAAAACCCGAUCCGGGUCACCGAUCCGGU
Molecule: long non-coding RNA, 370 nt
Filed under: Amborella trichopoda
Lineage: Eukaryota; Viridiplantae; Streptophyta; Magnoliopsida; Amborellales; Amborellaceae
Description: long non-coding RNA (ATRI_LNC000335)
Source: RNAcentral